This 648-nucleotide ribosomal RNA is filed under the name Staphylococcus aureus. RNAcentral describes it as "partial 23S ribosomal RNA". It matches the Rfam family "Bacterial large subunit ribosomal RNA", at positions 1242 to 1886 of the family's 2925-position model. Lineage: Bacteria; Bacillati; Bacillota; Bacilli; Caryophanales; Staphylococcaceae. The record is from RNAcentral.
UAAGGGCGUUGAAGCAUGAUCGUAAGGACAUGUGGAGCGCUUAGAAGUGAGAAUGCCGGUGUGAGUAGCGAAAGACGGGUGAGAAUCCCGUCCACCGAUUGACUAAGGUUUCCAGAGGAAGGCUCGUCCGCUCUGGGUUAGUCGGGUCCUAAGCUGAGGCCGACAGGCGUAGGCGAUGGAUAACAGGUUGAUAUUCCUGUACCACCUAUAAUCGUUUUAAUCGAUGGGGGGACGCAGUAGGAUAGGCGAAGCGUGCGAUUGGAUUGCACGUCUAAGCAGUAAGGCUGAGUAUUAGGCAAAUCCGGUACUCGUUAAGGCUGAGCUGUGAUGGGGAGAAGACAUUGUGUCUUCGAGUCGUUGAUUUCACACUGCCGAGAAAAGCCUCUAGAUAGAAAAUAGGUGCCCGUACCGCAAACCGACACAGGUAGUCAAGAUGAGAAUUCUAAGGUGAGCGAGCGAACUCUCGUUAAGGAACUCGGCAAAAUGACCCCGUAACUUCGGGAGAAGGGGUGCUCUUUAGGGUUAACGCCCAGAAGAGCCGCAGUGAAUAGGCCCAAGCGACUGUUUAUCAAAAACACAGGUCUCUGCUAAACCGUAAGGUGAUGUAUAGGGGCUGACGCCUGCCCGGUGCUGGAAGGUUAAGAGGAG